GAUGAACGCUAGCUACAGGCUUAACACAUGCAAGUCGAGGGGUAACGAGAGGAAAGCUUGCUUUCCUUGUCGACGACCGGCGCACGGGUGAGUAACGCGUAUCCAACCUGCCCCCAACUAAGGAAUAACCUUGCGAAAGUAAGACUAAUACCUUAUAAUUUCCUCAGAUGUCAUCUGACGAGGAAUAAAGAUUUAUCGGUUGUGGAUGGGGAUGCUUCUGAUUAGCUUGUUGGCGGGGUAACGGCCAACCAAGGCAACGAUCAGCAGGGGUUCGGAGAGGAAAGUCCCCGACAAUGGAACUGAGACACGUUCCAAACUCCUACGGGAGGCAGCAGUGAGGAAUAUUAGUCAAUGGGCGAAAGCCUGAACCAGCCAAGUAGCGUGCAGGAUGACGGCCCUAUGGGUUGUAAACUGCUUUUAUACAGGAAUAAAGUUAGCCACGUGUGGUUAUUUGUAGGUACUGUAUGAAUAAGGACCGGCUAAUUCCGUGCCAGCCGCCGCGGUAA
This 506-nucleotide ribosomal RNA is filed under the name uncultured bacterium. RNAcentral's name for it is "partial 16S ribosomal RNA". It matches the Rfam family "Bacterial small subunit ribosomal RNA", at positions 28 to 523 of the family's 1533-position model. The record is from RNAcentral.